Molecule: long non-coding RNA, 1350 nt
Filed under: Equus caballus (horse)
Lineage: Eukaryota; Metazoa; Chordata; Mammalia; Perissodactyla; Equidae
Description: lncRNA (ENSECAG00000057999.1)
Source: RNAcentral
AAGUCACCUCAUUAACAUAACAAAAGGAGCAGGAAAGAGAAUCUUUCUGAUGGUACCACAUGAUUAACCUCAAGCCGAUGUUGAAACCUAAGCUGCUGGGAGAGGGGCAGGAGAGAAGAAAGUUCCCCAAACAGAGCUCAGCCUCUCGCCCAACUCUUUACUCCUCCUGAUCAGACUGAAGUGCAAUCAAAGGAAUCGGGAUUCUUGCCGAGUGUUUUCUCUUCCUUCAGAAAGAGUCUUCUCGUCCCUCUUCCAUUUCCCCAUAAUAAUUCCUCGUCUAAGCCCUCAUUGCUUGAUGUCUCCAUGCUGCAGAGCUGUCUCACCACAAGGAUCUUUGUCUUCUAUAUCCUGACACCUCUGGAAGAUCCUGAGGAAGAAAUAUGACAUGUGAGAAACUUCCUGCCUUCCUUCCCGCCUCUGAGGAUUCGUGCACAGCACAAUAGAGUUUUUUGCAACCAGCUUCCAGCUCCAUGCAUUCAAAGAUGGGAGAACUGCAUUCAAGGAUGGUAGAACUGGUUAGCUUUUUCUUCCUUCUUGGCAAAUUUUAGCAACAAGCGGGAGCAUAAUUUCCUUAGCUUUUAUUAAGUUUUUCAGAAGCAUGGGUGUUGAUCUUUUCUACUUUUCUUUGGGAAGCAAUUUCUGACUUGCUCCAGGUAUAAGAUGCAUUUGCCCAUGACGCUUCGGAAUUGAACCUCUAGACCACACAUGGCGAUGGUCAGCAGAAGCAGUGGGGCUCUGGGAAUUACACAAAAGGCUGAAAAUUCUCUUAUUCUGCUGCCAAGUUCUCCAUUUACCGCCGAGGCAACCUGGGGAAAAUAGUUGGACUCUUUGUGCUCAGUUUCCUACUCUGGAUUCAAGUUGGAGAAAACAAUGCCGAUUACAUUUUCAGCAGCUGCAAAUAAAAUUGGAAGUAAAGCUGUUUUGGUCUAAUGGUUCCUCCUUGGGAAAGCUUCUAGAAACCAACCAGACGUAACAGACAUGGAUGAGUCUUCAAAAUACUACGCUAAGUGAAUGUUGGACACAAAAGAACACAUACUGGGGGCUGGCCCUGGGGCCGAGUGGUUAAGUUCGUAUGCUCCGCUGCAGGCGGCCCAGUGUGUGGUUGGUUCGAAUCCUGGGCACGGACAUGGCACUGCUCAUCAAACCACGCCGAGGCAGCGUCCCACAUGCCACAACUAGAAGGACCCACAAUGAAGAAUAUACAACUAUGUACUGGGGGGGCUUUGGGGAGAAAAAGGGAAAAAUAAAAUCUUUUCAAAAAAACAGAACACAUACUGAAUGAUUCCAUUUAUAGAAAUAGUUCAGAAUAGGCUAAUCCAUAGAGAUAGAAAGUAUAUUAGUGGUUUCUAG